CACGUAGGGCGCAAGCGUUGUCCGGAAUUAUUGGGCGUAAAGAGCUCGUAGGCGGCUUGUCGCGUCGGCUGUGAAAACCUGGGGCUCAACCCCGGGCCUGCAGCCGAUACGGGCAGACUAGAGUGCAGUAGGGGAGACUGGAAUUCCUGGUGUAGCGGUGAAAUGCGCAGAUAUCAGGAGGAACACCGAUGGCGAAGGCAGAAUCUCUGGGCCGUAACUGACGCUGAGGAGCGAAAGCAUGGGGAGCGAACAGG
Molecule: ribosomal RNA, 254 nt
Filed under: uncultured bacterium
Lineage: Bacteria
Description: partial 16S ribosomal RNA
Rfam family: Bacterial small subunit ribosomal RNA
Source: RNAcentral